This is a small nucleolar RNA of Astyanax mexicanus (Mexican tetra), 67 nucleotides long. The record is from Ensembl. Lineage: Eukaryota; Metazoa; Chordata; Actinopteri; Characiformes; Acestrorhamphidae.
UGUAAUGAUGAUUCAGCAGACUAGAGUCUCUGAGAACAAGUGAUGUUAUUUUAAACUGCACUGAACA